CCUACGGGGAGCUGCAGUGAGGAAUAUUGGUCAAUGGACGGAAGUCUGAACCAGCCAUGCCGCGUGCAGGAAGACGGCUCUAUGCGUUGUAAUCUGCUUUUGUACAAGGGUAAACCUGCAUACGUGUAUUCAGCUGAAAGUACUGUACGAAUAAGGAUCGGCUAACUCCGUGCCAGCAGCCGCGGUAAUACGGAGGAUCCAAGCGUUAUCCGGAUUUAGUGGGGUUAAAGGGUGCGUAGGCGGAUUGAUAAGUUAGAGGUGAAAUGUCCGAGCUUAACUCGGGAACUGCCUUUAAUACUGUUGAUCUAGAGAGUAGAUGCGGUAGGCGGAAUGUAUGGUGUAGCGGUGAAAUGCUUAGAGAUCAUACAGAACACCGAUUGCGAAGGCAGCUUACCAAUCUAUAUCUGACGUUGAGGCACGAAAGCGUGGGGAGCAAACAGGAUUAGAUACCCGAGUAGUC
This 460-nucleotide ribosomal RNA is filed under the name uncultured bacterium. Its description in RNAcentral is "partial 16S ribosomal RNA". It matches the Rfam family "Bacterial small subunit ribosomal RNA", at positions 338 to 795 of the family's 1533-position model. The record is from RNAcentral.